CUCUCUCUCUCUCUCUUUCUCUCUUUCUCUCUUUCUCUCUCUCUCUCUGAAAAUUUCUUGUAUUUUUUCUGUUCUUGGUUAUAGGUAAUGGUCUGUUUUAGUUAUAUUGUUGGAUCGCUGGCGAUGUGGUGUAGAGGAUUGCAGAGGCAUUGGUUAUUCUCAGCCUCGCUCAGGUUUCUCUCCACCUCCCAUAGCCAGCUACAGUAUAAUUUGCCAGUUUCUUUUACAUCAACCCCGGAUGUUGCUCACGGCGUCUUUCGCCAUCUUUAGCAUCGUCCCUGUCAAGGCUGCAAUCAAAUGAUCGUGAUAUCCAGUUUACACCAGACAUUAGUCAGGUAUCUACCUUUGAUCCAGUGGUUUGAUACAGUUACGCGUCUGGGAAAUCAACUGCGUUCAUCGUUGCAGGUGUGCUUAGGCUUUUUUAUGCUCACAUCUGCUCCAUUUGGGCUCCACAUUUU
This is a long non-coding RNA of Macadamia integrifolia, 458 nucleotides long. RefSeq lists it as uncharacterized. The transcript has 2 exons. NCBI's taxonomy places the organism in Eukaryota, Viridiplantae, Streptophyta, Magnoliopsida, Proteales, Proteaceae. The record is from RefSeq and is a predicted model, not a curated record.